UUUUGCUUUUGGUAACAUGUGUUUUCUGCAGACAUACACCCUAACCCUAAGACAUACACAAUACCUGGAAGUGUCACAAACCAUUUUGAGUAUUUAGAAAAAUGCCUGUGUUUGACUAUUUGUUUGCAGAACUGAAUUGUAUGAUAAUGUCAUUCAACCUAUUUUAUGUGGAAAGAUCAUUCAGGGGUGGCUAGUUCUAAUUAGUCUUUUUUUGUAAAAAUGUUUUAAGCAUAAAACAUUUUAAAGCAUGUAUUGAAUAUCUGUGUACAAUUCUUGUAUAUCUUUUUUUUUCCUUAAACGAAUAACAACCCUAAUGCCAGCCAGUUCAAGUACAUCUUUAGGAUGUAAAGCUGAUGGCCCAGUGUGGGGUUGUUAAACCAUGCAGAGGCAAUGUGACGGCACAGGAUAACACAGAGUCCCUACCAGCUGUCAUCGAAACCUCUACAAGCCUGUCAGCUGUAGAUGUGUCCUCUGCAGCAGGAGGAGAAGAUCUUCCAUCCCCGUUUGCUGACAUUCCUGCCCUAGUACAUGAUCACAGCUACCUUCCCGUCCACUUCGAUGGUCUUGUGGACAACGCUCUCAUGUACAUUUCAGGCUCUGAAGAAGCUGUCGUGUGAUGUCUGCCGUGCCAGCCUGGUGACAUGCUGCAUCUGCCAUCAAGGACCAGAGCUACCACAUGCUGAAUUUAAAAAACAAUGGAGGUCUGGUGAUUCCAUCAGAGGGAACCAUGAGUGUCAUCAGGGCAGCAGAGUGGGUCAUUCGGCAGUCAUCAGGCAGUACCAGACAAUCACAGCCCAUCAAACUGCUUGAGGUUGUUUACAUUGUCUGAAAAAGGAUCGGUUCAGAGGAUGUUUGUGUUGGGAUAGACAGUAUGACAUCCAUAGGCUGUUAAAAAUAAUUCUGUCCCUGUUUUUUAAGUUAAGGCUGCACCACAUCGCCAGAAUUACAAUCCUCAGCUUACAGAGCAACAACAUGCGACAAACUUAAUAAAACUGUCCUUUUCAAAGGGCAUUAGCCCAAGGUAUGUGUUUUCAAGGUACUGUCCUCUUUUACUUCAACAGUAGUGUAGUGCUCUCUACAGCAUUUAUUUAUUUGUGUAAAUAUAAAUGAUUUAUUUAUAUUUGUAAAGGGGAAUCAUGUACCUAUUUUUUGUGUGCAAAUAAAUGUCAC
Molecule: long non-coding RNA, 1170 nt
Organism: Esox lucius (northern pike)
Lineage: Eukaryota; Metazoa; Chordata; Actinopteri; Esociformes; Esocidae
Source: Ensembl